RNAcentral lists this ribosomal RNA (207 nucleotides) under uncultured bacterium. Its description in RNAcentral is "partial 16S ribosomal RNA". It matches the Rfam family "Bacterial small subunit ribosomal RNA", at positions 524 to 729 of the family's 1533-position model. The record is from RNAcentral.
GACGAACCGAGCGAACGUUAUUCGGAAUCACUGGGCUUAAAGGGCGCGUAGGCGGGCGGCCAAGUCAGGGGUGAAAGCCCCCCAGCUCAACUGGGGAAGUGCCUUUGAUACUGGUCAUCUCGAGGGAGAUAGGGGCGUGCGGAACUUCCGGUGGAGCGGUGAAAUGCGUAGAUAUCGGAAGGAACACCGGUGGCGAAAGCGGCGCGC